AUGUGCGGGAACCUGUCAUCUAUUUCUUCAAACUGGUGGGGUGAAGCAAAUGGUCAGAAGAAGGUGCAUUGGAUCGCUUAGGAUAAGAUGUGUACGAGGAAGCAUGAAGGAGGGCUAGGUUUUCGAGACCCGGAGGCUUUUAACCAAGCUUUGCUUGCUAAGCAGGCUUGGCGGUUGUUUCAGGUGCCAACCUCUCUGUGUGCUAGGGUCCUCAAAGCCCGAUAUUAUACAGAGGGAUCCAUCCUAAAUGCAACUUCCCCUAGGGGCUGUUCAUACACCUACAGGAGCAUUUUACACGAAAGAGACCUGCUGCUUGAUGGCCUUAUAUGGAGAACUGGAGAUGGCUCAAAAAUCAAAGUGCAACAUGAUAAUUCGAUUCCCAGGAAAGGUAGCCUAAAGCCACUGGGCCAAAGCUACAUCCCCAGGAUCACGCGGGUUAGCGAUCUACUGGAGGCCAACGGAGUUUCGUGGAACAUGAACAUGGUAUAG
RNAcentral lists this ribosomal RNA (489 nucleotides) under Triticum aestivum (bread wheat). RNAcentral's name for it is "partial small subunit ribosomal RNA". Lineage: Eukaryota; Viridiplantae; Streptophyta; Magnoliopsida; Poales; Poaceae. The record is from RNAcentral.